RNAcentral lists this small RNA (114 nucleotides) under uncultured Bilophila sp. RNAcentral's name for it is "STnc490 Hfq binding RNA". It matches the Rfam family "STnc490 Hfq binding RNA". The record is from RNAcentral. Lineage: Bacteria; Pseudomonadati; Thermodesulfobacteriota; Desulfovibrionia; Desulfovibrionales; Desulfovibrionaceae.
CCCCCCGCUAGGCGGGGGGCCAAAAAGCUUACAGCUUUGCCCAUGUCAGUAAAACUCCUUUUGGUUUGUUGAAAAGUCUCGCGGUCUGGCAACUGCGAGUCAACAAAUCAAAAG